Molecule: ribosomal RNA, 649 nt
Filed under: Bacillus safensis
Lineage: Bacteria; Bacillati; Bacillota; Bacilli; Caryophanales; Bacillaceae
Description: bacterial SSU rRNA
Rfam family: Bacterial small subunit ribosomal RNA
Source: RNAcentral
GAAGGGAGCUUGCUCCCGGAUGUUAGCGGCGGACGGGUGAGUAACACGUGGGUAACCUGCCUGUAAGACUGGGAUAACUCCGGGAAACCGGAGCUAAUACCGGAUAGUUCCUUGAACCGCNNGUUCAAGGAUGAAAGACGGUUUCGGCUGUCACUUACAGAUGGACCCGCGGCGCANAGCUAGUUGGUGGGGUAAUGGCUCACCAAGGCGACGAUGCGUAGCCGACCUGAGAGGGUGAUCGGCCACACUGGGACUGAGACACGGCCCAGACUCCUACGGGAGGCAGCAGUAGGGAAUCUUCCGCAAUGGACGAAAGUCUGACGGAGCAACGCCGCGUGAGUGAUGAAGGUUUUCGGAUCGUAAAGCUCUGUUGUUAGGGAAGAACAAGUGCGAGAGUAACUGCUCGCACCUUGACGGUACCUAACCAGAAAGCCACGGCUAACUACGUGCCAGCAGCCGCGGUAAUACGUAGGUGGCAAGCGUUGUCCGGAAUUAUUGGGCGUAAAGGGCUCGCAGGCGGUUUCUUAAGUCUGAUGUGAAAGCCCCCGGCUCAACCGGGGAGGGUCAUUGGAAACUGGGNAACUUGAGUGCAGAAGAGGAGAGUGGAAUUCCACGUGUAGCGGUGAAAUGCGUAGAGAUGUGGAGGAAC